CAGAGGGGGCAAGCGUUGUUCGGAAUUACUGGGCGUAAAGGGCGCGUAGGCGGCCCGCUAAGUCGAACGUGAAAUCCCCGAGCUCAACUCGGGAACUGCGUCCGAUACUGGCGGGCUUGAAUCCGGGAGAGGGAUGCGGAAUUCCAGGUGUAGCGGUGAAAUGCGUAGAUAUCUGGAGGAACACCGGUGGCGAAGGCGGCAUCCUGGACCGGCAUUGACGCUGAGGCGCGAAAGCUAGGGGAGCAAAACGGGAUUAGAUACCCCGGUAGUCCUAGCCCUAAACGAUGAAUGCUUGGUGUGGCGGGUAUCGAUCCCUGCCGUGCCGAAGCUAACGCAUUAAGCAUUCCGCCUGGGGAGUACGGUCGCAAGGCUG
This 373-nucleotide ribosomal RNA is filed under the name uncultured organism. RNAcentral's name for it is "bacterial SSU rRNA". It matches the Rfam family "Bacterial small subunit ribosomal RNA", at positions 526 to 896 of the family's 1533-position model. The record is from RNAcentral.